Pelobates cultripes (western spadefoot toad) is the source of this 226-nucleotide non-coding RNA. Lineage: Eukaryota; Metazoa; Chordata; Amphibia; Anura; Pelobatidae. The record is from the annotation of a GenBank genome assembly.
UGUUACAUAGUUACCUAGUUACAUAGCUGAAAAGAGACUUGUGUCCAUCAAGUUCAGCCUUCCUCACAUAUGUUGUUGCUGUUGAUCUGAAGCGCUUCCAAUUUUGCCACAAACUAGGAAAAAAUUCCUUCUUGACCCCAAAAUAGCAGUCAGAUGUCUCCUUGGAUCAAGCAGCUAUUACCCCACUAAUUAGAAAUUAUAUCCCUGUAUGUUAUGUUUUUGUAAG